AGCGAACGCUGGCGGCAUGCUUAACACAUGCAAGUCGCACGGAUCUUUCGGGAUCAGUGGCGGACGGGUGAGUAACGCGUAGGGAUCUAUCCAUGGGUGGGGGACAACUCCGGGAAACUGGAGCUAAUACCGCAUGAUACCUGAGGGUCAAAGGCGCAAGUCGCCUGUGGAGGAACCUGCGUUCGAUUAGUUAGUUGGUGGGGUAAAGGGCUACCAAGGCGAUGAUCGAUAGCGGGUUUGAGAGGAUGAUCAGCCACACUGGGACUGAGACACGGCCCACACUCCUGGGGGAGGACGCAGUCGAGAAUCUUACGCGAUGGGGGAGAGGGGGAUACAGCAAAACGGCGUGAGUGAUGAUGGAGUUCGGGUGGGUGUGCGCUGUUGUUCGGCAGGUAGUGCAGCACUUUCAACGGGGACUAUGAUGACGGUACCCGAAGAAGAAGCCCCGGCUAACUUCGUG
Molecule: ribosomal RNA, 460 nt
Filed under: uncultured bacterium
Lineage: Bacteria
Description: partial 16S ribosomal RNA
Rfam family: Bacterial small subunit ribosomal RNA
Source: RNAcentral